RNAcentral lists this ribosomal RNA (547 nucleotides) under Trigonopterus satu. Its description in RNAcentral is "partial 16S ribosomal RNA". The record is from RNAcentral. Lineage: Eukaryota; Metazoa; Arthropoda; Insecta; Coleoptera; Curculionidae.
AACCRACCUGGCUCACGCCGGUCUAAACUCAGAUCAUGUAAAAUUUUAAAGGUCGAACAGACCUAAUCACUUAGCUUCUACACCAAGAAUUUAUUUUAAUCCAACAUCGAGGUCGCAACCCUCCUCUUCGAUAAGAUCUCUAGAAAAGAUUACGCUGUUAUCCCUAAGGUAAUUUAAUCUUAUAAUCCAAAUACAGGCUCAAAUAACCACAAAUCAAUGUCUAAAGUAAAAAAAAGUUAACUCAAUUUUUCCAUCACCCCAACAAAAUAGUCCGCCCAACAGGCAAAUUUUGAGUUCUACUAAUUAACUUGUAGGGACGACUAUAAAACUCUAUAGGGUCUUCUCGUCUUCUAUUAAUAUCUAAGCUUUCUCACUUAAAAAUAAAAUUCAACUAAAUUUCCACAGAGACAGUCUUUCUUUCAUUAAACCUUUCAUUCCAGUUUUCAAUUAAAAAACUAAUGAUUAUGCUACCUUUGUACGGUCAAUUUACCGCAGCCAUUUAACUACUCAUUGGGCAGGCCARACUUGAAAUUAAUAUCAACAAGCC